RNAcentral lists this non-coding RNA (31 nucleotides) under Rattus norvegicus (Norway rat). The record is from RNAcentral. Lineage: Eukaryota; Metazoa; Chordata; Mammalia; Rodentia; Muridae.
UGGUAGCCAGGAAACCAAGAGUUGUUUUCGA